Molecule: long non-coding RNA, 5495 nt
Organism: Homalodisca vitripennis (glassy-winged sharpshooter)
Lineage: Eukaryota; Metazoa; Arthropoda; Insecta; Hemiptera; Cicadellidae
Exons: 2
Source: RefSeq, a predicted model, not a curated record
AUAAAUAACAGUUACCUAUAUAAUUUAGAUUUAGAUCAAACAUUUAAAAAACACUGUGAAGAUCUAGAAUAAAUAUAAAACAAGUUUUAAGUAAUUUUCAUUAAUAGGGUAAUAUCAAAUCUAUAUUAGUAAAAGUAAUCACACAAACUUAGUUAAUUUCAAAAUACUAUGUGGCUUAUGUUAACAGAUAAUUAUUGAAAAUUUAUUGCACAUAUGAAGUACAGUACAACCCCGAUAAGUCGGCCCCCGUCAACCCGGACCGAUUUUCAAUUAAAAAAUAAAAUAUCAGACAAACAUUUCAAUAAUAAAAACGUAAUAUAAUGUGGUAUAGUAUCCGUGAAUCUAUGUUGCAUCAGUAUUUUAUGGGACUGUAUGAUAGUGAUUGUGUGACUCAUGGCACACGGCAGCCGAGUGGCGGUUAUUGUCCCAGACUAUGUUGCAUCAGUAUUUUAUGGGACUGUAUGAUAGUGAUUGUGUGACUCAUGGCACACGGCAGCCGAGUGGCGGUUAUUGUCCCAGACUAUGUUGCAUCAGUAUUUUAUGGGACUGUAUGAUAGUGAUUGUGUGACUCAUGGCACACGGCAGCCGAGUGGCAGUUAUUGUCCCAGAUUCUCUGAAACAAUAACAGGCGCGUAUUUCCCCAAACCCUCUCCCACGCUACCGCCACGCCUGGCCCCUCAGUACCGUUCCUACCUCGCUCCGCUCGCUUGUGCCCGUGUUGUGUGUGUAGUGUACUGUAUUGUUUGCUUCUGUUCUGCAAUCGUGCUUCAGAUAGUGUGCUUCAUUUGUGUUGUGCGUUUGUUUUUAUCUACGCGAUGGCAACAAAACGUAAAAAUGUUGUAGUGACAAUGGAAAAGAGACUAGGGGCAUUAGGUAGGAUUGAUAAAGGCGAAUCUUUAAAAACAAUUGUAGCAUCUUAUGGUGUCGGUACAUCUACAGUAUCGGAUUGAAAAAAAAAUAGGACAAAAAUCAAAGAAUUUUGUUUCAAGAUGAUAACAAAAGACAGUUUGGGCAAUCGGUGCAAAGCUAAGAAAGCUAAAAACGAGACUCUUAACGACGCUUUGUAUGUUUGGUUUUGUGCGGAAAGGGAACGUAGUUUGCCAGUGUCUGGGUCUAUCAUUCAAGAAAAGGCAAUCAAGCUGAAUAAACAGUUGCCUGAUUGUGAACCAAAUUUUACUGCGAAUCAAGGAUGGUUGGAUAGGUGGAAAUAACGGCAUGGUAUUCGCCAACUAUCUAUCACAGGAGAAAGUCUAUCUGGGGACAACAGCACUGCUGAUGACUAUAAAAACAAGUUUUUGGAUUUUGUUAAAGAAUAAAAUUUAACGGCAGAUCAAAUAUAUAAUGCCGAUGAGACGGGUCUGUUUUACAGAAUGUUGCCGAGCAAAACUUUGGCCUCAAAUACUGAAAAAUACGCAAAGGGGUACAAAAAAAGCAAAGGCCGAUUGACAAUAAUGGCCUGCAGCAAUGCUUUGGGGAAGCAUAAAUUUCCUCUACUCUUAAUAGGAAAAGCAAAAAAUCCGCGAGCACUGAAAAACGUAAAUUGAGAUUCUCUACCAGUUGUCUACAAGUCUCAAAGAAGUGCAUGGAUGGACAGCAACACUUUUAAAAACUGGUUUUUUGAUUGUUUUGUGCCAGGUGCGACGAAAUAUUUAAAAGAUUGUGGGUUGCCAAUUAAAGCUGUCCUACUAAUUGAUAAUGCUCCUUCACAUCCAUCUGCAGAUGUGCUGGUCAGUGGGGACAUUACCGUCAAGUUUUUGCCGCCUAAUGUAACAGCGCUAUUACAGCCCAUGGAGCAGGGGGUUCUCGAGAAAAUCAAGAAGGUUUACAGAAGACAGAUGCUAAGCACAAUCAUUGACAAUGAAGGAGAACACGGUGUAGUUGAGAUUCUCAAAACAUUUAAUGUGAAAACUGUAAUGUACAUGAUUGCAGAAUCGUGGGAACAAGUGACUAGAAUCGGCUUAAUUAAAUCUUGGAAAAAACUGUGGAAGGGUGUAUGUGACUUGCCUGAAAAUAUAAUUCAACCAGUGGGGAACUGGAAAAGGAAAAAUGACUCUAGACCAGGGGUUCCCAAACUGGGGUACGUGAGCAGGACCACGCCAGUUUGCUAUUAUGUUCCGGCUGAUGCGAGGGAAAUUUCGGGUUGCGGGAAAAGCGAGGAAAGUUUUGUUUUGCGCGACGAGUGGCUACAUCACUGACGCUCUCCACCUUCUAGUUUCUUUGUCAGUUUGUCUAUCGUCUGCUAGUCUGCAAAGUGUGUGGUUUUAAGCGUGUGUCAUACUGCCACAUUAUUCGUGUUAUUUUAUUCACUAUUUCAUAGACAGUGUUUGUUAUAGUAAUAUGGAUAUGUGGUUAAGCAAGUCUUCAAACGUUAAGAAAAAGCAAAGAGUUUCAUCAUCACUUGAAGAAGGUUAUUUUACUCUUGUACCUAGUACGUCUUCAUCAAAAGAUCAAGGUUCUUCUGUGUGUUCUGCGAAGCCAUUAGGUAAACAAACGUGCGUACAAAAAAGGCGUAAAUAUGAUACCAGCUACUUUUCUUACGGAUUUACUUAUAAUGAAGUCCAUGACAAUAAAGUUAGGCCACAUUGUGUAAUUUGUUUGGAAACACUUUCUCACCAUGCAAUGAAACCAUCUCUUUUAAAACGUCAUUUCCUAACAAAAUGCGAAAAUUACAAAGAUAAACCAUCAAUUUUUUUUCAAAAAUAAGGAAGCUUCAUUAAAAGGCAGCAAGACAAAUAUUAAUUUUUUUACCAGUUUGAAUUUAAAAGCGGUUGAGGCUUCCUAUACAGUUAGUCUUAGAAUUGCUCAAGAGGGCAAACCACAUACCAUUGGGGAAACACUGAUACUGCCAGCAACUAAAGACAUUGUGUCAACCAUGUUAGGAAAAAAUGGGACUAAACAGAUUGAUUCACUUUCGCUUUCUAACAAUACAGUUUUAAGAAGAAUAAGUGACAUGGCUGCUAAUGUAAAGGAAACAUUACUCAUGAAAAUAAAAAAGCAAAUAUUUUGCUAUUCAAAUUGAUGAAACAACUGACGUAACUAACAUGGCUCAGCUAAUAUGUUAUGUUAGGUACGAAGAUGGAAAUACUGUCGGAGAAGACAUGUUAUUUUGCCAAAACUUGCCUUCACACCCAAAUGCAAAUGAAAUAUUUGGAAAAUUAGACACAUUUAUUUGAGAAAACGAGUUGAACUGGAAAAAAAUGUGUAGGAAUUUGCACAGAAGGGGCAAAUGCAAUGGCUGGAGUUCAUAAGGGAAUUGUUACUCAAGUGCAGCAAGUAAGCCCAAAGGCUAAGUUUAUUCAUUGUAGUCUUCACCGAGAAGCCUUGGUUACAAAGAGAUGUGAUGAAAUGGAUAGUAUUCACAAACAAUUACUUCUGCACACGGAAGUAAGGUGGUUGUCGAGAGGAAGAGUGAUACCUCGAGUUUUUGAACUUCGUCAUGAAAUAUUGAUUUUUCUAUCCGACACAGACUUUCAGUAUCGUGACCGUUUUUCAGAUGAAUUCUGGUUGAGCUGAUUGGCUUAUUUGGCAGACAUAUUCAGUAUGUUAAAUGAUGUUAACAGGAAACUACAAGGAAGCUAUAACACCCCAUUCCAAGUUAUGGACAAAAUCAAUAGUGUGAAACUAAAACUAAGAUUUGCAGAAGGGGAAGCAAAGAAAAGCCAAGUGUUAUUGUUCCCAUCUCUUGAAUCUUUUAUUAAAGAAAACGAAAUUCUCCUGAGUCAAACAAUUUUGAAUGACAUAUCAGAUCAUUGUAGCUCCCUCCAAGCUAGCUUUACAAAAUACUUUCAAGAAGAUCUGAGUUCAUACUCGUGGAUUAAAAACCCCUUUACUGAAAUUGAUAAAAUUGUUCCAUCAGUUUUUCUCUGAACCUCAAAGAGGAACUUUUUGAGUUAACUGACUGCGGUUCGGAUCUGAAAGAAGUAUUUAACAAAACCACUCUUAUUGAUUUUUGGAUCACACGACGCUCAGGGUUUGGUGAAAUAUAUAACAUUUGUAUUUGAAUACAUUACGGAUCUGUUAUUCUUAUUGCAUUUUAUCUUUGAAAUUCAGAUUUUAUCACAUACGAGUGAUUAUAAUUGCAUAUGAAACGAAAAUAAAAAAGGCAAACUAAUGAUGCAUGUAUAAUUUAAAAUAUAUGUGUUAUGGGCCAAGGGGUACGCCAUAAUACAUAGUACAAACUAAGGGGUACGUCACCAUAAAAGUUUGGGAACCGCUGCUCUAGACGAUGUCCAGCCCCAAGAACUUUUGGAUAUGUUCCAAAAUAUUGAUGGCUGCUCUGAAGUCGAUGAAAAUGACAUUACUCUGUGGUUAGGGGCAGACAAUAACGAAGGCUAUGAGCCACUUACUGACAAGGAAGUGAUCACGUCGUUUUUACCUGAUGCUAAUGAAUCAGACGCUGAGGAGGCAGACGGGGAUAUUGAAGAUCCAGUGAUGAGUCAUGGAGAUGCAGUGACCAAACUAAACGAACUAAUGGUUUAUUUCGAGUGGCAGGCAGAAACAACGCCGGCUGAAUUGCUCAUGUUGAAGAGACUGCGGGAUCGCACAGCACGCAAGCGGCAGACGACAUUGGCACAACCAAAGCUGACUGAGUUUUUUAUCAGGAAAUGAACAGUUAUAAAUGUACUGUAAGGAUUAAUAAUAAUUAAAUGUACAUAUGUUUUUACAAUUAUAAUCGAGUUUAUCUGUAAGUAUACCGUAUUUUAUUAAUUUUACCUAAUUAAUUUAAAUUUUACCGGCUAACCCGGAUUUUCGUUAACUCGCAUCGGCCGAGGUCCUGAUUAAUCCGACUUAUCGAGGUUCCACUGUAUAGAUUAAUAAUAAUCAAAAAUGUACUACUAUAAAUUUACAUAAUUUUACAAUACAAAUUCUUGUCGCCUAUUAUCAUGGAAAGUCUAAGGAUGGUUGCUUUGAAUAACAGUUGAAGUUUCUUUUUAGUUAUCUUUUAAAAUUUUAUUUAUUUUAAAUUUUACAUGGUUAAAUACACCAAUCCUCAAACCCAGUUAGUGUGGUUUCAAAUCUUGUCCGACAUGAGCCAUUACCAUUUGGUCCACCUUAUUUGAACAAAAUAUUUCCUUCAUACAGUGGAUUUCACAGAUCUACGGGGAGUGCACAGAAAAUGUCUAAAAAGGAUGAUAUUCAACAUGAUAUUGAACAUUUUGUGUAAUAAAGGAAUCUUAAAUAAUACUAAAAUUUUACUGUGACAGAGGUAAGUGGCAUUUAAAGGUAAUCAUUGACCAAUCUCAACCUUAUUUCUAUUUAUUUUUUCCAGGUACUGAUGAUACUUUAUUGAAGUGGUUACAGAUAUUUUUACAGUCAUUGGUUUUUUGUUUUACAUUUUAUCCAAUGUUAACAUCACUUACAACUUUAUUUUGAUGUUUUACUAUUUUUGAAGGUAUACAUUAAUAUUGUAAAAGACAUGUAAACUACCAAUAAAAAGUGUCAUUGUUGUAAAAUAUAAACUGUUUUGUUACUCCAAAUAUAUUUUAUUUUUAUUA